This 77-nucleotide transfer RNA is filed under the name archaeon. RNAcentral's name for it is "tRNA-Thr". It matches the Rfam family "tRNA". Rfam says of the family: Transfer RNA (tRNA) molecules are approximately 80 nucleotides in length. Their secondary structure includes four short double-helical elements and three loops (D, anti-codon, and T loops). RNAcentral also lists the same sequence under 4 other names. The record is from RNAcentral.
GCCUCGGUGGCUCAGACCGGUAGAGCGGCAGCCUCGUAAGCUGUAUGCCGCGGGUUCAAAUCCCGCCCGGGGCUCCA